UGUAACUUUGAAGACAUCUUGUUCUGACCUCAUUCACUACAGAACGCCACAGUGUAAGAACACACUAUGUAGGAGCUUGAAGAUGGAUUAUUGCCUUUUUCCAUGUUCUGAAACCAUUUAAUUUAGAUUGUACUUCCUUUUCCUUGGAGCAAGAUGGCAUCUGCAACUGCUACUGGUACUGGUUCAAGAAAACAAAGAAGGAUCCCUAUUGUGUGCAGAUUUUGCAUAAAGAACCAGGAAAACAUAUCUAUACAUCUCACCAGAGUGUGCAUGAAGACAGAAUCAA
Long non-coding RNA from Oncorhynchus tshawytscha (Chinook salmon), 286 nucleotides. RefSeq lists it as uncharacterized. The transcript is spliced from 2 exons. Lineage: Eukaryota; Metazoa; Chordata; Actinopteri; Salmoniformes; Salmonidae. The record is from RefSeq and is a predicted model, not a curated record.